Molecule: long non-coding RNA, 2743 nt
Organism: Oreochromis niloticus (Nile tilapia)
Lineage: Eukaryota; Metazoa; Chordata; Actinopteri; Cichliformes; Cichlidae
Exons: 3
Source: RefSeq, a predicted model, not a curated record
CCGUUUCAAAAGUACCGGUUUGGCACCGGUAUCGGAUAAAACCUAAACGAUACCCAUCCCUAGUGAAAUGUGUGGAACUGGGCUGAACUAUAAGCUGUGUUUUGUAUUUUUUCUUGAGCUACUCGUGCAUCGAGUUGUUCUUUAAUGAUAAAGAUUAGCUAUCAUGUGACUGAGUGAAUCCACGAAUCCUUUGAUUUCAUAAAAACAGUUCAAAGUGCUGCAGUGGAAACAGUCGUGUCAUCUGCAUACAGGUGUUUCUGCCCCUCCAUCAGAGGCUCUGUGGCCGACUGAGCUGUAAUAACCUGACAGAGUAACAGAGAAGACGGUCAGACUGAAUGACGCCCCCCUGCAGCAGUCUGAUGCAGCUGCUCUCCUCCACCCCCUCCUCUCUGCUCGUCUGAGCGUUCAUUAAUCUGCAGAGAUACGAGGUGCAGCUAAGCAGUUAACACAGCAUCCGAUCUGCCUGUUUGAUUACCUGGGAAUCCCGGAAGGCAUCCAUCAGCCGGUUAUGAGCUUCAUCUUUCGCCGCAGGCUCUGAGCAGCGCCACCGCUGCACUCAUCACCACGGUGACGACUUAAAGGAUAGAAAUGAAAAGAGAGGCGGGUUUUACUUCAUCACAGCACGUCGUGUUGCCCGGGGAACGAUGGCAAGUCUGAAGUUAUCCAGGGAGAGAUCCAUCAGACGUUGAGCAGCGUGCUUCACGGGCCGGAAUAAUGUUUUCUCAGCCGAUCAGACGGCCAUUCAUCACCAAACCUCCACUCGCUGCUAAAUAUUCCACUCUGUCGAGGCCCAUCCAUCCUUUCUCUUAUGUUUCCCCAUCGCACCGACACUGACAGAGCUGCUCUCCACACUUCUCUCCUCACUUAGUUCCAGAUUUGAUGCCGAGCAUUUUUAAGAAAGUCGGCGUGAACAUCUGAAGCUGGAGUGUUCAGCUGUUCACGCUCUGACUUACAACCAAUUUACCAUCACCCACUACCCAGCAUGCACUUCUUUGGACUGUGGGAGAGGACCCUCACUCACGGGGGAGAACGUCCACACAAAGGACGAGCCGGCUGCAGGAUUCAGGCUCGUCAGGACGGUCCUGGUGCCACCACAGCACUGGCCCUGCUGGUGGAAUAAUGAGGUCGUGGUUUGUUCUCGAGGCUGCGGAGCUGUAACGUCCUCAGGUGCUUUAAUGAAGCAGCGACACUCAGAUUAAACUGCUGCGUCUCGAGGCCGAAGAGCAGAGAUAAGAGCAGACAGCAGCCUGUAGAAUCAGCCCGCUCACGCCUCUGAUAAGCUAAGAGGCUUAAAAUGGGAGUCAAAGGAGUGGAACUGGGUUUAAGUGAUCCGGAGCGUCUCAGGGCAGGAGCACUUCCUGUUUGGACACGUGGCGGCGAACAGUCCUGACCUGUGAUUCAGCGCUUCGUGCCGUUAAUCUCAAGCAACAGAUUCAGUGCUCGAAGAAGGAAAUGAAUCAAUAUAAUCAAUAAAUGAUUGAAAUUUAUGUCCGUCGAGGAAUUAUUGUGUAAUAAACCAGGAGAAGGAGCUCAUUAGUCAGCUCAUACUCCACAGUGACGCUGCGGUCCGUCCCACAUCAGUCAGCUCAUCACUCCGCCGACAACGCCUGCUCAUCCGGAGAGACGGUGCUGAGCUCAGGGGGGGGGGGCGGUGUGAUGUCAGCAGAGCUGUGAGAUGUGAUAAAGGUUUUCUUUAUUUUGUCAUCGACCCCUCUGACCCUGUAAAGGACCCCUGCUCCACCUCGCAGCACGGUGACAUUUAAAGAAGCUCUGAUAUCACCAUAGAGCGCUUCACUGUCUUUGUUCGCCGUGACCGGCGCUCAUCCACCUGCCUACACUCAUGUUUCCAGUCUGAGUCAUGGGGAACUCAUUUCCCAGUAACACACAUGAAUGUUUCUGGGCGCUGUAAUCAGCGGAGCUCUGACACAAACUGUCCUGACUGAAGCGUAGCAGCAGGUGAAGCGUCCUGCUGACGGCUGACAGCCGGGGACCGGUCGGCGCCGACAUGUUGCUGCUGAGCUCGUCGGCACUAGAAAUACUAGUUGGUUAAAUAUUAUUUUAUUAAUGUACAAUAACACUUUUACCCAUGGUUACAGCUCUGAGAGACGCCCGUUAAUUUUGGAAUAGUCCUGUUACGACACAACCUUAAUUAGAGUGAAGAGGGGUAAUAAAUCUGACUAAACUAAUGAAUGAGGUCAAAACUGCAUCGAUCCUGGUUAUCAGGGCGUCCCGUGGAAGAAAAACUCCAUCCAGGUUUGAGGGUUUCUGAGCGCUGCAGACUCCCUGCCCUCCUGCAGUGGCACAAAUUUCUAACAAAUAGAUUAUAAAUAAUUAGAUAAGGAAUAAUUAGAUUAGGAAUAAUUCUAGCAAAUUAUGUAGAUCCAAUUAAAGCGGGAUAAACCUGCAGCUAUGGGAGUGGAGGAGCAGCCUCAGUGGAGAUCCAGUUUAAUGAAACAGCAGAAAUCACUUAAAGACGGAGUCUCCACGUGUGCCCGGAAACCUGCGCUCACAAAUCCGAACAAUGAAGUCGGAGUCACAGAAACGGGAAAGCUGACAAAUAUCACAUCCACAGGAAAAAUCCACGGUUCACACAGAGCAGCCAAAGCGAGUGUUCAGACUGUCGUCAGCUCCUCUCAGGAUAAACUCACAGACUUACGUCAAUAAACCGUUUGGAUUCCUUGAGCUGACGUUUGUCAUUAUGGAGACGAGCAAAGAAAUGCGCGCGCGCACACACACACACACA